GACUGACUGGCUCGAUACUGACACUGAGGUGCGAAAGCGUGGGAGCAAACGGGAUUAGAUACCCCGGUAGUGCACGCCGUAAACGAUGUCUACUAGCCGUUGGAGGACUUGAUCCUUUAGUGGCGCAGCUAACGCGAUAAGUAGACCGCCUGGGGAGUACGGUCGCAAGAUUAAAACUCAAAUGAAUUGACGGGGGCCCGCACAAGCGGUGGAGCAUGUGGUUUAAUUCGAAGCAACGCGAAGAACCUUACCUACUCUUGACAUCCAGUGAACUUUUGAGAGAUCAAUUGGUGCCUUCGGGAACACUGAGACAGGUGCUGCAUGGCUGUCGUCAGCUCGUGUUGUGAAAUGUUGGGUUAAGUCCCGUAACGAGCGCAACCCUUGUCCUUAGUUACCAUCAUUAAGUUGGGGACUCUAAGGAGACUGCCGGUGACAAACCGGAGGAAGGCGGGGACGACGUCAAGUCAUCAUGGCCCUUACGAGUAGGGCUACACACGUGCUACAAUGGCAUGUACAAAGGGUUGCCAAGCCGCGAGGUGGAGCUAAUCCCAUAAAGCAUGUCGUAGUCCGGAUUGGAGUCUGCAACUCGACUCCAUGAAGUCGGAAUCGCUAGUAAUCGUGAAUCAGAAUGUCACGGAGAAUACGUUCCCGGGCCUUGUACACACCGCCCGUCACACCAUGGGAGUGGGUUGCUCCAGAAGUAGAUAGCUUAACCUUCGGGAGGGCGUUUACCACGGAGUGAUUCAUGACUGGGGUGAAGUCGUAACAAGGUAACCGUA
This 779-nucleotide ribosomal RNA is filed under the name uncultured bacterium. RNAcentral describes it as "bacterial SSU rRNA". It matches the Rfam family "Bacterial small subunit ribosomal RNA", at positions 723 to 1504 of the family's 1533-position model. The record is from RNAcentral.